This 429-nucleotide ribosomal RNA is filed under the name Chloroflexota bacterium. RNAcentral's name for it is "Chloroflexi bacterium partial 16S ribosomal RNA". It matches the Rfam family "Bacterial small subunit ribosomal RNA", at positions 355 to 776 of the family's 1533-position model. Lineage: Bacteria; Bacillati; Chloroflexota. The record is from RNAcentral.
UGGGGAAUAUUGCACAAUGGGCGCAAGCCUGAUGCAGCCAUGCCGCGUGUGUGAAGAAGGCCUUCGGGUUGUAAAGCACUUUCAGCGGGGAGGAAGGCGGUGAGGUUAAUAACCUCAUCGAUUGACGUUACCCGCAGAAGAAGCACCGGCUAACUCCGUGCCAGCAGCCGCGGUAAUACGGAGGGUGCAAGCGUUAAUCGGAAUUACUGGGCGUAAAGCGCACGCAGGCGGUCUGUCAAGUCGGAUGUGAAAUCCCCGGGCUCAACCUGGGAACUGCAUUCGAAACUGGCAGGCUAGAGUCUCGUAGAGGGGGGUAGAAUUCCAGGUGUAGCGGUGAAAUGCGUAGAGAUCUGGAGGAAUACCGGUGGCGAAGGCGGCCCCCUGGACAAAGACUGACGCUCAGGUGCGAAAGCGUGGGGAGCAAACAGG